CAGACAAUAGUUAAAUUAGAAUCAAUGCUUUGGGGGCAUUAGGUGGGUUUAGGCGCCCUUGUUUGA
RNAcentral lists this transfer RNA (66 nucleotides) under Appalachioria falcifera. RNAcentral's name for it is "tRNA-Pro". The record is from RNAcentral. Lineage: Eukaryota; Metazoa; Arthropoda; Diplopoda; Polydesmida; Xystodesmidae.